This 112-nucleotide small nucleolar RNA is filed under the name Penicillium decumbens. RNAcentral describes it as "A. fumigatus snoRNA Afu_191". It matches the Rfam family "A. fumigatus snoRNA Afu_191". The record is from Rfam by way of RNAcentral. Lineage: Eukaryota; Fungi; Ascomycota; Eurotiomycetes; Eurotiales; Aspergillaceae.
UGCACAUGAUGAACAACAAAGAAGAAUUCUGCAAUUCUGACAAUCUCCAUGCGUCUGUUUCGGCUUACGCAUUGUGAGAUUGAUUGUUGACUCUUCUACACUUGAUCUGACU